This 750-nucleotide ribosomal RNA is filed under the name uncultured prokaryote. Its description in RNAcentral is "bacterial SSU rRNA". It matches the Rfam family "Bacterial small subunit ribosomal RNA", at positions 731 to 1482 of the family's 1533-position model. The record is from RNAcentral.
GGACAAAGACUGACGCUCAGGUGNGAAAGCGUGGGGAGCAAACAGGAUUAGAUACNNGNUAGNNCACGCUGUAAACGAUGUCGACUUGGAGGUUGUGCCCUUGAGGCGUGGCUUCCGGAGCUAACGCGUUAAGUCGACCGCCUGGGGAGUACGGCCGCAAGGUUAAAACUCAAAUGAAUUGACGGGGGCCCGCACAAGCGGUGGAGCAUGUGGUUUAAUUCGAUGCAACGCGAAGAACCUUACCUACUCUUGACAUCCACGGAAUUUGGCAGAGAUGCCUUAGUGCCUUCGGGAACCGUGAGACAGGUGCUGCAUGGCUGUCGUCAGCUCGUGUUGUGAAAUGUUGGGUUAAGUCCCGCAACGAGCGCAACCCUUAUCCUUUGUUGCCAGCACUUCGGGUGGGAACUCAAAGGAGACUGCCGGUGAUAAACCGGAGGAAGGUGGGGAUGACGUCAAGUCAUCAUGGCCCUUACGAGUAGGGCUACACACGUGCUACAAUGGCGUAUACAAAGAGAAGCAAACUCGCGAGAGCCAGCGGACCUCAUAAAGUACGUCGUAGUCCGGAUUGGAGUCUGCAACUCGACUCCAUGAAGUCGGAAUCGCUAGUAAUCGUAGAUCAGAAUGCUACGGUGAAUACGUUCCCGGGCCUUGUACACACCGCCCGUCACACCAAGGGAGUGGGUUGCAAAAGAAGUAGGUAGCUUAACCUUCGGGAGGGCGCUUACCACUUUGUGAUUCAUGACUGGGGUG